Arachis ipaensis is the source of this 2013-nucleotide non-coding RNA. Lineage: Eukaryota; Viridiplantae; Streptophyta; Magnoliopsida; Fabales; Fabaceae. The record is from RefSeq and is a predicted model, not a curated record.
UUAAGUGCACACAUCAAUUCAAGGCCUCUGUACGCGGCGCUUGCACAGUAUGUGCGCAUGCCCAAUAGCCCUUUACCCAUAAAUGCAUACGCACAUCAUUUUGGUGCGUACGCACGAAUUCGAAAUCCCUCCCCAGCGUCCUUCCUCUUCCCUUCGCACACGAUACCCUCUUCUCCCCUCCCCACUGUCUUAGCCUCCAGUCUGAACCAUCACCUUCGCGUCAACCACCUCCAGCCACCGCCGCCUUCUCAAAACCGCAACCAUCACAGACCCCAUGUCGCGUUUCCUCUUCUCCCUUACCGUCGCCUCCGUCGAAAUCCAGAGCAACGGCGGCUAGCUUCCCCUUUUUCUCCCCUCUCUCUGACUGGCAAACCACCACCGCGAAUCACCCUAGCCUCCACCAUCAGCGAGCCGCAGCCCUCUUCUCCUCUCUCCAUCUCACUCGCAAAACCACCAAAGCAAGCCCACCACCACAGCGCCGCCAGCAACCCUAAUCGCCAGCAAACCGCCGCGACAACCAACCGUCACCGGCGUCGCCAACGCAACCCUCCACACACCACCUUUUUCUCCGUUCCCCCUUUACUGCCUGGAACGGCCAGAAUAGGGUGCAGCCCCUGUGUCUUCCAGCCCUGUGCCGUCUUCCCUCUCUGACGCUGCCCUUGGCCGGCCGUGCUGCCGUGGCUGCAGCCCACCACCUCCCCUUCCCUUUCUCUAUUCUGUUUCUGCCUUUCCAGCUACUCUAUCGCCUAACCCACCAGUUGAAGGUGGAGGUGACACAGUGACGACUCCUUCCACUCCGCAUGAUCGUGAGCACCGAGGACGGUGCUACAUCUUAAGUGUGGGGAGGUUGUGCAUCUUCAGCAAGCGCAUUUUGGGUGACAAGCUUCAUUGCCGAACACUUUUAGUUUAGUUUCUUAUUAUGCUUUUUAGUUAUUUUGUAUAUAUUUUAUCUUUUGAAAACCUUUUUACUUAGUUAUUGCACUUUCUUAGUUUAUUGCACUUUUUAAUUUUGCUUGUACAUAACUUAGUAUUAUAUAGUAGUUAUGCAUAUUUUGACAUUUUGCUCUUAAUUUUGGCUUGUACAUAUGUUUUUUUUUUUUUUUUGGUUUUUUUUUCUUGUUUUUGUUUUGUUUUUUUUGUUGUUUUCCUGACAUUUUGCUCUUAAUUUUGGCUUGUACAUAUUUUUUUUUUUUUUUUUUGGUUUUUUAGUCUUGAUUGUGAUUUGGAUGAUGUGAUGAUUGCACCUAGUUUGAUUUCCUAUACACUUGCUAUUUUGGUUUGUUUGAAAUUAGGAAUUAAACUUAGGAUUUUUGACCUUUUCCAUCCAAUCACACUAUAUACAUAUAUAGAAUAAAUGCUAGUCAAUUAAUGAAAUUUCCAAGAAGCUUAUCUUUUGUAUAUAGGGCAUUGAAAUUCAAAUUGAAUUGAGUUUAAAAUUUUCAUUGAAACUUGCAUUUAUACAUUGUGGAAUAUGGUUUUUGAGUUGAAAGAACAUACAACUUGUGAGUUUUUGAGUCUUAUUGUGUGGUUACAUCAUUUAACCACUUAUCUCAUUCUUGUGUGUUGCUCUUCUUUAUGAUGCAAUAUUUGGUUUGUUUAAUGUAUAUUAUGCAAUUAUGUGAUUGAGGCCAUUAUUUCUUUAUAGCUCACUUAACCCAAAUAGCCUACCAUUUCAUUCACAUUUGUUUGCCACUUUGAGCCUUUUUUAUCCCCUUUUGUUCUUUAUUUUGCCACAUCAUUAACCUUAAGUGAAAAACAAUGAAGUGUCCCUUAUUUGAAUCUUUGAGUAGCUUAAGUUAGUGAGAGUGUGUGAUGUUUAAGUGUGGGGAAGAUGUGGGAACUUUGGUUGAUGAAUAGGUGUUUUAAUUCUUGUUGAAAAAUAUUGAAAAUUUCGGGUGCAUACUCAUGUAAUAUUAUGGAAACCAUAUGCAUUAAUGUGUUGGUAUAUAUAGUGUUCUUGAAAAAAAAAAAAAGAAUAAUGAAAAGGGGACAAAAUUAUCCCUAUGAGAAAUU